CUCCUAGCGGAAGCGAUCUCUGCGUUGUCGACAAUGCGAACCCAAUGUCAUCAAGCCGGAAUACCAACCGGGGCUCUUGCAUUGCAACAGUGUGCGAACAUCAGUGUAAAUGCGAGGCAGCGGCUACUGCUGCCGCCGAAGCUGACACCGCCUACAUAGAAGAGGUAGGUGAUACGAAUGCCGUUUUAGAAGGAACUUGUUGCGACAAUUAUAGUACCACCUAAAUGACGGGAGUCGAAAAUCAUUGAAUUCCCUGCAAUUUUAAGAAACUUAAAGGCUGACAAAAAGAAGCUGAAUUAAAGGAAUUCUUAAUGCCUAUUGAAUCACAAAAGCUUCUGUUUAGAAGUAACUGGCAUCGAUACAAGAAUGCCCCUACCAAUUGCCCUAAUGAUGUUCCAAGAGUUGCUGCGCAAAUAGUAGCGAGCCGGCAACCUUCACGUAGUGAGAAUAUCCGAUUGGAAUUUGCCUCGUAAAAGAAUGAUGGCAAGAAUACUUCAAACUACAAAUCAAAAUGAAGCUUAGUCGAUUUGACUUCUGCCAUUCGGUUGAUUUGACGAUAUGCUAAGAAUCUUUCCAUGAUUAGUAAAGAUUCGUCGUGGAGUACUUAGUUUUUAAGUGAAGUUUUAAUUUUUUCAAAAUUGUAUGUAAUUGGGUAUAAUUUUUGUUUUUAAAAUUCAAUUUCAUUAUAGAUUAUAGGUUUUAUAAUGUAUAUUACAGCUCCCAAAUUGAGUGAAAUUAAAUCUAAGUAUAAAUUGAAAAUAAAGUGAAAUUGUUUUCAGGGUUCUAUCAUUAUAUGAAAUUG
Long non-coding RNA from Eupeodes corollae, 802 nucleotides. RefSeq lists it as uncharacterized. The record is from RefSeq and is a predicted model, not a curated record. Lineage: Eukaryota; Metazoa; Arthropoda; Insecta; Diptera; Syrphidae. The transcript is spliced from 3 exons.